GUCAGUGUGGCCGAGUGGUUAAGGCGCUAGACUUGAAAUCUAGUACAUUCGUGUUCGUAGGUUCAAAUCCUGCCGCUGACG
Molecule: transfer RNA, 81 nt
Filed under: Aspergillus sojae NBRC 4239
Lineage: Eukaryota; Fungi; Ascomycota; Eurotiomycetes; Eurotiales; Aspergillaceae
Description: tRNA-Ser (TGA) (tRNA-Ser-TGA-1-1)
Rfam family: tRNA
About the family: Transfer RNA (tRNA) molecules are approximately 80 nucleotides in length.
Source: RNAcentral